GACGAACCGUGCGAACGUUGUUCGGAAUCACUGGGCUUAAAGGGCGCGUAGGCGGGUGACCAAGUCAGGGGUGAAAUCUUUCGGCCCAACCGGAAAAGUGCCUCUGAUACUGGUCGUCUUGAGGGAGGUAGGGGUCGAGGGAACUGGUGGUGGAGCGGUGAAAUGCGUAGAUAUCACUAGGAACGCCGGUGGCGAAAGCGCUCGACUGGACCUCUUCUGACGCUGAGGCGCGAAAGCCAGGGGAGCAAACGGG
Molecule: ribosomal RNA, 253 nt
Filed under: uncultured bacterium
Lineage: Bacteria
Also listed under: 1 other name
Description: partial 16S ribosomal RNA
Rfam family: Bacterial small subunit ribosomal RNA
Source: RNAcentral